UCCUUCUAGCCCGAAGUGUCAG
RNAcentral lists this microRNA (22 nucleotides) under Pristionchus pacificus. RNAcentral's name for it is "ppc-miR-2252". The record is from miRBase by way of RNAcentral. Lineage: Eukaryota; Metazoa; Nematoda; Chromadorea; Rhabditida; Neodiplogasteridae.